AAUAUUGGACAAUGGGCGAAAGCCUGAUCCAGCCUUGUCGCGUGGGUGAAAAAGGUCUCCGGAUUUUAAAGCACUUUAAGUUGGGGGGAAGGGAAGUAAGUGAAUACCUUGCUGUUUUGACUUUACCGACAGAAUAAUCACCGCGUAACUUCGUGCCAGCAGCCGCGGUAAUACGUAGGGUGCAAGCGUUAAUCGGAAUUACUGGGAGUAAGGCGCGAGUAGGUGGUUUGUUAAGUUGGAAGUGAAAGCCCCGGGCUCAAGCUGGGAACUGCUUUCAAAACUAGCAAGCUAGAGUAUGGAAGAGGGUGGUGGAAUUUCCUGUGUAGCGGUGAAAUGAGUAGAUAUAGGAAGGAACACCAGUGGCGAAGGCGACCACCUGGGCUAAUACUGACACUGAGGUGCGAAAGCGUGGGGAGCAAACAGG
This 424-nucleotide ribosomal RNA is filed under the name uncultured bacterium. Its description in RNAcentral is "partial 16S ribosomal RNA". It matches the Rfam family "Bacterial small subunit ribosomal RNA", at positions 360 to 776 of the family's 1533-position model. The record is from RNAcentral.